AAAAAUCUGAAUCUGCUUGUGUGUUUAUUCUAUCAGACUAGAAAGGCAAGAACUUGGCUUUGAAAAGGAAAGGAGAAUCUUCCCACCACACUUAACUACUGUACAGAUUCUGAGGAAUCCGAAGCUGGAAAGCUUCCGUGGUUUGGGGAGACUUAAAGGGAAGAAAAGAGAUCUUAAACAUUCAAGAGUAUCUUUUUGAGUGCACGUCUUAAUUCUGAGAGAACAAGCUUGCUGUAUCAAAACAACAUUAUAUAAAACAGAAAAGAAUCUCACCUUUUGGCACUGCUGUUUCUAUAUAUAGAGUACAGAUCUAGAGAUAUAGGAGGAAUUACUUUACUGGAACCUGUAAUGCCAUGGAAGGACUGCAAUUUUACCAGCCACCCUAUCCUAACCGACCUGCAUCUAAGUUCCUGCUGUAGUUCUCACUGCAUGUGCUGAUAUUAACAUUUAGAAGUCAGUACAGACAAACCAUAUCAGGAUUCUUGCCAGCAGUUACAGCUGACACAGGCAACUCUGUUUUCAUUUAAAGAUGGUAAUACCAGCGGAAUCUCUGAAAAUCGAUUACUUUUUUCCAGGAAGCCUAAUGUUGA
This 590-nucleotide unclassified non-coding RNA is filed under the name Homo sapiens (human). RNAcentral describes it as "partial intronic MYO5A antisense RNA". The record is from RNAcentral. Lineage: Eukaryota; Metazoa; Chordata; Mammalia; Primates; Hominidae.